Molecule: long non-coding RNA, 703 nt
Organism: Saccostrea cuccullata (small rock oyster)
Lineage: Eukaryota; Metazoa; Mollusca; Bivalvia; Ostreida; Ostreidae
Exons: 3
Source: RefSeq, a predicted model, not a curated record
AUGUUUAAAUCUAGGAAAUCGUGAGAGACAGACUUGUUCAUUUGCCUUAUUCUACCAGGGACCAGGGCAUAGAAAUAUGUCAGCUUUGAUGAAAUUCAACCGUUUAAAAUUGAGGUACAUCUACCAGACAUACAGAGUUGUACUUUAGCGACCCAGAGACACAUCUCAGUAGUGCUGACUAGGCCUUUAAUCGACAUGUUCUUCUGUAUUAGCUGUACCUCUGAGCACUACUAAGUCAAUGAUUGGAUGCAAAGUUUUAUCCUAGACCGUGCGUGAAAAGCAUAUGGAUGAGUAACAAUGGAUCAAUGAUACAAUUGUUGCAAUAAUUUAUCAUAUGUCAUGCGUGAUAAAAAUGGAUCAGCACUUCUUGAUCAGUGAUGCAACAUUUUACUCUAAACCGUGCAUGAAAAAAGUUAAUGAGUACUACUUGAUCAGUGAUGCAACAUUUUAUUCUAUACCGUGCGUGAAAAAAAUUAACGAGUACUACUUGUUGAGUGAUGGAACAUUAUUCUAGACCAUGCGUGAAAAAGAAAUGAAUGAGUGCCACUUGAUCAGUGAUGCAACAUUUAAUUCUAGACCAUGCGUGUUAAAGAAUUGGAUAAGUUCUGCUUGAUCAGUGAUGUAAAAUUUUAUUUUAGACCAUGCGUGAAUAAAACCAGUGUACUUUCAAUCUGUAUCCUAUCUUCUAUCAAGAACUAUUACC